GUGCUGACAUCUUGAGAGGAUUGUGUGUGAAGGAGGCCAUCUGGUUACAUCCUGGCUGCAGGAAGUCUGAAAGUGAUCGUAGUCGCGGAAAGGAGAGACUGAUCGCUGCUUUCUAUUUGAUCCUGCUUGUUGGAGAAAGGAUUGCUUCUAGGAAGGCUGCUGUGAGCUGUGUAGUGAAACAAUCAUCUACCUCGACAAGGCCGCAUUUGUGUAAAGGGACUUGUGGCUAUCCCGGUCAAAGCCACCCUCUAAUACAGAAGGGACUCAGAAAGGCCUUCCGGAUUUCUGCAUUUUUAACUUGAAAGUCAAGUCUCCAGCCUACUGCACAUCAACAAGGUCUCUUCCACCAGUCUCAUCCUCCUCCAAGCGGCAAAUUCACACGACUGAUUCUUUUGCCGUACUGGCACGUGGAACGCAUAUAUAAUAAAAACGACAACUUUUGAUCUUUUUAACUCAUUUAUUCAUAGGGACAUUGCAUUUAAAACACAAGAUUUGUUUCAAUAAAAAAUAAAAAAAAUGUUAGAGCUGAUCGGCUUAAACAGAUAUUACAAACCAUUUUGUAUUUGUGGGUACAAUUCAUAGUAAUAUGUACAAAAGCUAUGUAUUACACUACUGUAUGCUUAGAAACAAUUUGAGGUGCCCCCACACCAGACUCCAUACACUCCCCCAUAUCACCAAGGGGAGGCUUUGUUUCUUUCCAUUUGACCAGUGUACAUUAGUUUCUUAACUAAUAAAAAGGGUACUGAACUUUGGAACUGCUGCAGUAAUGUGAGUGCCACUUACACGACUACUUGCUCGGGGUGAUGUUGAUUUAUGUAAAAACUUUACAUUUCCAUUUCUCACCGAUUUGAAGGCAACGCUCAAGGCACAGUAGCUCACGAAAAACUAACAAAUUCCCAUGGGAAUAUCUUUUCGUAUUGUGGGAAAUAUCUGUCUGUAAGUGCUCAUCCCGACAAACUGACGGCAAAAAAAAUAUAUAAAAAGGUUAGUCUUAAAGGGAUUGUCUGGGAGUUUAAGAAAUUAAAAAUGUGUUCCCUCGCUACUACAGUACCUAUGACCUGGUGGCUCUCACCGGUAUAAUUCCUUAUAAGAGUGAUCGUCUGUACAUCCAUGCCACCACCUUAGCCAAUCACUGCUCUCUAGAUUAACCGGCAAAGUAAAA
Molecule: long non-coding RNA, 1162 nt
Organism: Bufo gargarizans (Asiatic toad)
Lineage: Eukaryota; Metazoa; Chordata; Amphibia; Anura; Bufonidae
Exons: 2
Source: RefSeq, a predicted model, not a curated record